Long non-coding RNA from Panonychus citri (citrus red mite), 703 nucleotides. RefSeq lists it as uncharacterized. The record is from RefSeq and is a predicted model, not a curated record. NCBI's taxonomy places the organism in Eukaryota, Metazoa, Arthropoda, Arachnida, Trombidiformes, Tetranychidae. The transcript has 4 exons.
UCGCGAAUCAUUUGAAGACCGGCAACAAAUUCAUUCGGAGCUUUUUUUGUUGCGAAAAAAAAUGUAUUGAAUUUAUCUUAAAUCAAUUGAUUGGUCAACAUUGGGUUUUUCUCAUUGAAUGUAACGAACAGUGAAAAUUAUCUUGAGGCCCAAUAAUAAUCUUGUAUCGUUUUCGAUCUUGAUAUUAGCUUUGUAUACUUUUCAAAGCGCGAUCCAGUCAUCUCUUUCGCUCUCUCCUGCUGUUGCUAUUAACUUUAGAUUGUCAAGACGAUACGAUUCGGUUUCUAAUUGUCAAGUGUUUUGUUUACUAGUUACUUGAAUCAAUACAUGUAAAUGUUUCAAAUCAUUUAUUUGAGCAAUAAAAACUUUUUUAAUCUUUGAUAAAUAAGAAUAUUAUUUAAUCAUCAGUACACGAGAAUCAAAAAAUAUCUCCGAAUGAUUUCAGCUGAAAACAGCUUUUGAAUCUGUCAACAGUUUGUAAACAAUGGAACAUUUUGGUGAAACGGCGACUGAAAAAAAUUCGACAUUUACAUGUCGAGAAUGAAUCCAAUUUACCUAUUUCUCAUUGUACAAUCACAUCUACACGGAUGAUGUUGGACUAAUGGAGAGAGUUAAUGUCUCUCAGUUUUUACCGAACCUCAAGUUUUUAACCCUAAGUCAGGAGCUGUAUGAAACAUGCACCUGUAAAAUGAUGGUCAAUGUU